CCUACGGGGGGCAGCAGUGAGGAAUAUUGGUCAAUGGGCGCGAGCCUGAACCAGCCAAGUAGCGUGAAGGAUGACUGCCCUACGGGUUGUAAACUUCUUUUAUAAAGGAGUAAAGUGAGGCACGUGUGCCUUUUUGUAUGUACUUUAUGAAUAAAGCUCGGGUAACUCCGUUCCAGCAGCCGCGGUAAUACCGGGGAUCCGAGCGUUAUCCGGAUUUAUUGGGUUUAAAGGGAGCGUAGAUGGGUUGUUAAGUUCGUUGUGAAAGUUUGCGGCUUAACCGUAAAAUUGCAAUUGAUACUGGCAGCCUUGAGUACAGUUGAGGUAGGCGGAAUGCGUGGUGUAGCGGUGAAAUGCUUAGAUAUCACGAAGAACUCCGAUUGCGAAGGCAGCUUACUAAACUGCCACUGACAUUGAUGCUCGAAAGUGUGGGUAUCAAACAGGAUUAGAUACCCCGGUAGUC
This 460-nucleotide ribosomal RNA is filed under the name uncultured bacterium. RNAcentral's name for it is "partial 16S ribosomal RNA". It matches the Rfam family "Bacterial small subunit ribosomal RNA", at positions 338 to 795 of the family's 1533-position model. The record is from RNAcentral.